AAGACUGUAUAGAGGAAAACAAAACUGCAAAAACAAAAAUAAAAAAAACAUCGCACAAGAAAAUAAAAGAUUUGUAGAAUCAACUAAGAAAAUGGCUAGCACUAUGAUGACUACAUUGCCUCAGUUCAAUGGUCUUCGAGCCACCAAAAUCUCUGCAGCUCCUGUACAAGGCCUGGUUAGUACUUUUCAGUUUUCUUAGAUUCUCAAAAUGUGAUUUGAUCUUCUAUAAUCUUUUGGGGUCAAUUUUUUCCUGGAUUUUAUAUGUUUUAGUGGCAGAUUUAUUGGAGAUU
RNAcentral lists this small RNA (290 nucleotides) under Arabidopsis thaliana (thale cress). RNAcentral describes it as "ATSL022270". Lineage: Eukaryota; Viridiplantae; Streptophyta; Magnoliopsida; Brassicales; Brassicaceae. The record is from RNAcentral.